UACGGGGGGAGCAAGCGUUGUUCGGAUUUACUGGGCGUAAAGGGCGCGUAGGCGGUCAGCACAAGUCAGUUGUGAAAUCUCCGGGCUUAACUCGGAAAGGUCAACUGAUACUGUGCGACUAGAGUGCAGAAGGGGCAACUGGAAUUCUCGGUGUAGCGGUGAAAUGCGUAGAUAUUGGGAAGAACACCGGUGGCGAAGGCGGCGACCUGGUCCGAUACUGACGCUGAGGCGCGAAAGCGUGGGGAGCAAACAGG
RNAcentral lists this ribosomal RNA (254 nucleotides) under uncultured bacterium. RNAcentral's name for it is "partial 16S ribosomal RNA". It matches the Rfam family "Bacterial small subunit ribosomal RNA", at positions 524 to 776 of the family's 1533-position model. The record is from RNAcentral.